RNAcentral lists this signal recognition particle RNA (299 nucleotides) under Sphenodon punctatus (tuatara). RNAcentral describes it as "Metazoan signal recognition particle RNA (ENSSPUG00000008748.1)". It matches the Rfam family "Metazoan signal recognition particle RNA". From Rfam's summary of the family: The signal recognition particle (SRP) is a universally conserved ribonucleoprotein. Lineage: Eukaryota; Metazoa; Chordata; Lepidosauria; Sphenodontia; Sphenodontidae. The record is from RNAcentral.
GCUGGGUGCGAUGGCUUGUGCCUGUAAUCCCAGCUCCUGGGGAGGCUGAGGCUGUAGGAUUGCUUGAGCUCAGGGGUUGUGGGUUGCAGUUGGCCAUGCUGAUCAGGUGUCCACAUUAAAGUGAGCAUCAAUAUGGUGACCUGUGGGAAGCUGUAGGUUACCAAAUUGUCUAAGAAGGGGUGAACCGGCCCAGGUCAGGAAUGGAGCAGGCCAAAGUUCCUGUGCUGAGGAGUAGUGGGAUUGCACCUGUGAUUGAUCCCUGCAGCACAGCCUGGGUAGGAGAGUGAGACACAGUCUGU